CCUACGGGUGGCAGCAGUAGGGAAUCUUCCACAAUGGGCGAAAGCCUGAUGGAGCAACGCCGCGUGGGUGAAGAAGGUCUUCGGAUCGUAAAACCCUGUUGUUAGAGAAGAAAGUGCGUGAGAGUAACUGUUCACGUUUCGACGGUAUCUAACCAGAAAGCCACGGCUAACUACGUGCCAGCAGCCGCGGUAAUACGUAGGUGGCAAGCGUUAUCCGGAUUUAUUGGGUGUAAAGGGAACGCAGGCGGUCUUUUAAGUCUGAUGUGAAAGCCUUCAGCUUAACCGGAGUAGUGCAUUGGAAACUGGGGGACGUGAGUGCAGAAGGGGAGAGUGGAACUCCAGGUGUAGCGGUGAAAUGCGUAGAUAUAUGGAAGAACACCAGUGGCGAAAGCGGCUCUCUGGUCUGUAACUGACGCUGAGGUUCGAAAGCGUGGGUAGCAAACAGGAUUAGAUACCCGUGUAGUC
RNAcentral lists this ribosomal RNA (465 nucleotides) under uncultured bacterium. RNAcentral's name for it is "partial 16S ribosomal RNA". It matches the Rfam family "Bacterial small subunit ribosomal RNA", at positions 338 to 795 of the family's 1533-position model. The record is from RNAcentral.